RNAcentral lists this ribosomal RNA (429 nucleotides) under Acidobacteriota bacterium. Its description in RNAcentral is "Acidobacteria bacterium partial 16S ribosomal RNA". It matches the Rfam family "Bacterial small subunit ribosomal RNA", at positions 355 to 776 of the family's 1533-position model. The record is from RNAcentral. Lineage: Bacteria; Pseudomonadati; Acidobacteriota.
UGGGGAAUUUUGGACAAUGGGGGAAACCCUGAUCCAGCCAUCCCGCGUGUGCGAUGAAGGACUUCGGGUUGUAAAGCACUCUUGGCAGGAAAGAAACGUCAUGGGUUAAUACCCCGUGAAACUGACGGUACCUGCAGAAUAAGCACCGGCUAACUACGUGCCAGCAGCCGCGGUAAUACGUAGGGUGCAAGCGUUAAUCGGAAUUACUGGGCGUAAAGCGUGCGCAGGCGGUUCGGAAAGAAAGAUGUGAAAUCCCAGAGCUCAACUUUGGAACUGCAUUUUUAACUACCGGGCUAGAGUGUGUGAGAGGGGGGUGUAAUUCCGCGUGUAGCAGUGAAAUGCGUAGAUAUGCGGAGGAACACCGAUGGCGAAUGCAGCCUCCUGGGAUAACACUGACGCUCAUGCACGAAAGCGUGGGGAGCAAACAUG